RNAcentral lists this unclassified non-coding RNA (2978 nucleotides) under Hevea brasiliensis (rubber tree). The record is from RNAcentral. Lineage: Eukaryota; Viridiplantae; Streptophyta; Magnoliopsida; Malpighiales; Euphorbiaceae.
UUUUUUUUUUUUUUUAUUAUUAUUAUUUUUUUUUUUCUUUGCUCCCUAAGAUCUUGCCACGUCUGCAAAGCCACUACGUGUUCUAAUCACAUUGCAGCAACACCCUAAUGACCGGGAAAAAAUUAAGAAAAAGGACACAGCUUUAAUUACAAGAACUCGUGUAAUUGAAUCCUUCCUCACCAAGAAAAUACAAAUGCACAGCGCAACCCAACGUAUCACAGCACAGUCACACAACUUAUCAUCCAAACUCUCUUCCCCUUUACAAUUUUUCGCUUAACAAAAAUUCGUCUAUCGCCUCCAAGAGAAUAGAGGAUUAUCGUACCGGUUUUGCCUUGACCCUCUAGUCAGUCGCCGGUCACUUUCGUUACCAUGUGCGACGAUGUGCCGCAAGAUCAACACAGACAAGAAUAUAUAGUGCCGAUUUUGGACUUGAAUGGCCUCAAAGUGAUAUCUCCGCUUGGCCGUGGAGCUAAAGGCGUGGUUUUUCUGGUUAAAGAAGAGCAGUACGGUGAGUUGUGGGCUUUGAAAGUUAUAUUGAGAGAUUUGGUGGAGAAGAAGAACAACGAUGUAUCCGAUGGGAGUGAAUACAAGAGGGUUUGCUUUGAACGGCAAGUUUUGGGCCAGUUUAAGCAUCCGCUUUUACCCAGAUUACGUGGUCUUUUGGCCACCGAAAAAAUUGUUGCCUACGCUAUUGAUUUUUGUUCUGGACGUGACCUCAAUCAAUUGAGAAAGCAACAGAGCGAGAGAAUGUUCUCCGCUGAGAUUAUCAGGUUUUAUGCUGCUGAAUUGGUUCUCGCAUUGGAGCAUCUUCAUAAUCUAGGCAUAGCCUACAGAGAUUUGAAACCUGAAAACAUCCUCAUUCAAGAGAACGGCCACAUAAUGCUCGUCGAUUUCGAUCUGUCAACAAAGCUGCUUCCAAAAUUACCUCAAACUUCUCCUAUUUCCAACUCAAAUAACCCUAAACCCCCCUCGUCUCACAAAAAACGAUUAUCUCUCUUUCACCGCUGCUGCAAUUCUGGUAUCUCGCCCGACGACUCAUCGGAACGCGGUCUCAGCACGCCACCUCCGGAGUUAGACACCAUCGAAAAGUCCAACUCGUUCGUAGGAACCGAAGAAUACGUGGCGCCGGAAAUAAUCCAAGGGUACGGCCACGAUUUUGCGGUGGACUGGUGGUCCUUAGGAGUCGUACUAUACGAGAUGUUGUAUGGAGUGACACCGUUUAAGGGUGCAAAUAGGAAGGAUACAUUUUUCAAGAUUUUAACGAAAUCGCCGGAUCUCGUGGGGGAAGCGACGCCGUUGAGGGACCUGAUAGGAAAGUUACUGGUGAAAGACCCCAAGAGUAGGAUCAAAGCUGAAGAAAUCAAACGCCACGAAUUUUUUGAGGGCAUCGACUGGGCUUUGAUACUGCAAAUGGCGAGGCCACCGUACAUUCCGCCGGCAAGUUAUGAGUUUUGGGAGAAGGAGGGUAAGGAGGGAACUAUGAAAAUUGAUGUGGAGUCUUUUGUCCAGAGAAUAUUUAGCGGAAAUGAAGGUGAAAAAGAGGAAAAGGUUACCAAUCAAGAAGACGAGACGACAGAAACAAGGGUGUGGGUUAAAGGACUCAAUAAUCACCCUCCUGAAACUGACAAUUUUCUUGUUUUUUAAUUAUUAUUAUUGUUAUUAUUAUUACUUAAAAAAAUAACAUCUACUUUAGCUGAAAGUCUUGACACCUUGUCAUUCUCUUCUCUCCCUAUUCAUUAGUCUUCUAUUAUAUUACAUCCCCUUUCCGCGAAUCUCUUUCUAAUCUAUAAGGGACAAAGAAACUAAAAUUUGGCUAUUUAAAGGUGACAUCCCUUAAUUACAGGAGCCAACACUUGCUUUACCACAUGCUGGUUUACAGUAAGUUAUCAGACAACUGAAAAGGUCCUAAACCUCAUUGUCAAGGAAGUCAACAGCAGAAAGCUUGAAGAAUAUAAAUAACACUCUACACAUAUAUAAAAUGGUUCCUAAAAUACCAAAACAUUAUAAGAAUUUUCACAAGGAUGCUUCAGGAAGGAGAUAAGUGACUAAAUAUGCUGAAAAGGCAAUAAUCAGAUAAUUUCUGUCACAGCAAGGUACUUGUUGACUUCGGAAGGAAACAACUCAGAACUGACUCAUCAAGCAGUGUAAGAGACUUGCAACAAAAUAAAUUGGCAUUCAAUCAUAUUCUCUCUCAAAAAGAAUUUGUAACCAAUAAUUUUCAUGAGAAUAAAGGUUCAUACAUGUAUUGAUCAGAUAUGAUGUGGUAAGAAUGAAACAUAAGUAAUUCUUAAUUUUAUGCCUUAACCAGAAACACUGGAUCAUGAGAAGAUUGCUUCAGCCAUCAGUUGCAGCUUGUGCCCUAAUAGUGGUCAUUGUGGACUGUGGACAUCAAUCAAUUCCCAAGGCAAAUCAAAUGAGUUGGCAACAUAAAUCAUAAUAUGCCAUUGCAGCAAAAGUUAAAUGUACGUCUAACAAUAGGCCUCCAACACUCAAGUUCACAUGCUAGCCACUAGCAUGCAAACAACAUCCACAACCAAACUGAUACAGUAAAAUGCAGGAAAAAGGUACAUACAUUUGGGGGCCCAAUUAUAGUUCCUGUCCAUGAUUGCAUGUAAAUAUCGUCUGCAUCAUCCAUUCCAUAGCUGACAGUUCCAUCUCCGAUCCCUUUCUCCCCUCUCUCAAGCUCUUCCAGUAAUCUGAAAUUCCUAGGCACAACAACUCUUGAUCCUUCAGAGCCCAUUGAUUAGUGAAUGUUGAAUUAGCGAACAGAAGAUUGGGGUUUUUUCUUCAGAUGAAGAGAGAGACGAACCAAGAAAAAGCAGCAAGUAAUUGUAAAAACUAAAGAGAGUAUGGAGCCCAAUUACUACUUCGCAGUAGUUCCCACGAAUGACGAAUCCCCAGGUCCACCUCUAGUCUAACAACUACAUUUGUAAACUUUUUCGAAAUUGUAAAAAGGCCCUCAUCUUAUUUUAUUUUUC